This 426-nucleotide ribosomal RNA is filed under the name uncultured bacterium. RNAcentral's name for it is "bacterial SSU rRNA". It matches the Rfam family "Bacterial small subunit ribosomal RNA", at positions 354 to 796 of the family's 1533-position model. The record is from RNAcentral.
GUGGGGAAUCUUGCGCAAUGGGCGAAAGCCUGACGCAGCAACGCCGCGUGGGGGAUGAAGGCUCUCGGGUUGUAAACCCCUUUCAGCAGGGACGAAUCAAGACGGUACCUGCAGAAGAAGCCCCGGCUAACUACGUGCCAGCAGCCGCGGUAACACGUAGGGGGCAAGCGUUGUCCGGAUUUAUUGGGCGUAAAGAGCUCGUAGGUGGCUGAGUAAGUCGGGUGUCAAAGCCCCAGGCUCAACCUGGGAUCCCACCCGAUACUGCUCUGGCUAGAGUCCGGUAGGGGAGCGUGGAAUUCCUGGUGUAGCGGUGAAAUGCGCAGAUAUCAGGAGGAACACCAGCGGCGAAGGCGGCGCUCUGGGCCGGUACUGACACUGAGGAGCGAAAGCGUGGGUAGCAAACAGGAUUAGAAACCCGUGUAGUCC